Molecule: RNA transcript, 2606 nt
Organism: Carlito syrichta (Philippine tarsier)
Lineage: Eukaryota; Metazoa; Chordata; Mammalia; Primates; Tarsiidae
Gene name: non-POU domain-containing octamer-binding protein pseudogene
Exons: 2
Source: RefSeq, a predicted model, not a curated record
UUUCAUGUUAAAAACUCUGAGAAAACUAGGAAUAGAAGAGAACAUAUUCAACAUGAUUAAAGACAUUUGUGGACAACUUACAUCAUACUCAAUGGGGAAAGACUGAAUGCUUUUCCCUUGAAAUCAGGAAUGAGGCAGGUGGUCCAUUUUUACCAUGACUGGAGAUUCUAGUUAGAGCAAUUAUGCAAGAAAAAGAAAUAUAAGACAGAGUGUCACCGUUACUCCGAGGAGAGGCCACUCUCUGGAGGAAGUUUUCAGGGUUAGAGAGAACUGAGAGGCACUUGCUGUCUUCAGUCGGAGUUGAGGGUGCAAAAAUGCAGAGCAAUACAACUUUUAGUUUGGAGAAGCAAAGCCAUACUCCAAGAAAGCAUCAUCAGCAUCACCACCAGCAGCAGCACCACCAGCAGCAACAGCAGCAGCCACCACCACCGCCAAUACCUGCAAAUGGGCAGCAGACCAGCAGCCAAAAUGAAGGCUUGACUGCUGACCUGAAGAAUUUUAGGAAACCAGGAGAGAAGACCUUUACCCAACGAAGCCGUCUCUUUGUGGGAAAUCUUCCUCCUCACAUCACUGAGGAGGAAAUGAGGAAACUAUUUGAGAAAUAUAGGAAGGCAGGCGAAGUUUUCAUUCAUAAGGAUAAAGGAUUUGGCUUUAUCUGCUUGGAAACACGAACCCUAGCGGAGAUUGCUAAAGUGGAGCUGGACAAUAUGCCCCUCCGUGGAAAGCAACUGCGUGUACGCUUUGCCUGCCACAGUGCAUCCCUUACGGUCCAAAACCUCCCUCAGUAUUUGUUCAACGAACUAAUACUGAGAAGCCUUUUCUGUAUUUGACCAGGUGGAGAGGGCUGUAGUCAUUGUGGAUGAUCGAGGAAGGCCCUCAGGAAAAGGCAUUGUUGAGUUCUCAGGGAAGCCAGCCGCUCGGAAAGCUUUGGACAGAUGCAGUGAAGGCUCCUUUCUGCUAACCACUUUUCCUCGUCCUGUGACUGUGGAACCCAUGGACCAGUUAGAUGACGAAGAGGGACUUCCAGAGAAGCUGGUUAUAAAGAACCAGCAAUUUCACAAGGAGCGAGAGCAGCCACCGAGAUUUGCACAGCCUGGCUCCUUUGAGUAUGAGUAUGCCAUGGCUGGAAGGCACUCAUUGAGAUGGAGAAGCAGCAGCAGGACCAAGUGGACCGCAACAUCAAGGAGGCUCGUGAAAAGCUGGAGAUGGAGAUGGAGGCUGCUCGCCAUGAGCAUCAGGUCAUGCUAAUGAGACAGGAUUUGAUGAGGCCCAAGAAGAACUUCGGAGGAUGGAAGAGCUGCACAACCAAGAGGUGCAAAAACGAAAGCAACUGGAGCUCAGGCAGGAGGAGGAGCGCAGGCGCCGGGAGGAAGAGAUGCGGUGACAACAAGAAUAAGUGAUGCGGUGACAGCAGGAAGGAUUCAAGGGAACCUUCCCUGAUGCGAGAGAGCAGGAGAUAUGGAUGGGCCAGAUGGCUAUGGGAGGUGCUAUGGGCAUAAACAGCAGAGGUGCCAUGCCCCCUGCUCCUGUGCCAACUGGUACCCCCGCUCCUCCAGGACCUGCCACUAUGAUGCCGGAUGGAACCUUGGGAUUGACCCCACCAACAACUGAACGCUUUGGCCAAGCUGCUACAAUGGAAGGAAUUGGGGCAAUUGGUGGAACUCCUCCUGCAUUCAACCGUGCAGCCCCUGGAGCUGAAUUUGCUCCAAACAAAUGUCACCAAUACUAAUAAAGUUGCAGUGUCUGGUUUCUCAAAACCUUAAAAGAAAGGACCCUUUUUGGACUAGCCAGAAUUCUACCCUGGAAAAGCGUUAGGGAUUUCUCCCAAUAGUUAGGUCUACCCUUCCUGUACUACUCUAGGGAGUAUACUAGAGGCAAAGGGCAAGAGAGGGGUGGUAUUUAACAAAUCGGUUCUGUGUGAUGUAUUGUUUAAUCACUUAUGUGGUGCAUUCCUGAAGUCUCAAAUGUGAUUGUUGAGAGUCUGGGGGAACCAUGGCAAAAUGGAUCUAGUUGGACCCUCAUUAAUCUUGAUCAUUCCGUUUUUUGUCCUUCCUGUUUUGCUUCCUUAUCCUUACACCUUCCCCCAGCCCCAGAGACACUGCCACAUAAACCACAAAAACCAAACCUCCCCCAAUGACCUUAGCCCCAUUGUUCAAUUCACUCCCAGGUGAGAAUUCAGGCAAACGUCCACAGAGGUCACAGGCAACAUACGGUUCUGUUAUAUCCCAUAUAUUACCCCUUUAUGUCCCAAGGAAGACAUUUUCUCCUAGAGAUUUUCAUUUUAGUAUAUCUUUAAAAAAAAUCUUGUGUUAACUUGCCUCCAUCUUUUUCUUGGGUAAGGACAACCCAGGAAUGGCCCUUUUGUGUCUAUGAUGUUACUGUUCAUAGCUUUUCUUGAUAGGCCUAAUACUAUCUUGGGAACAGGGUUGCUGUAUGCUAAAGGUCUGACAGUAGCUCUUAGAUUUGCCUAUCUUAGGUAGUUGUGCUGUGCAUUUUUUUUUUAUUGGUGUACCAUGUUUGAUUUGUCCCUAAUAUCUUAAAUUUGGAGUUUUUUGAGAAAUGGAGCAGUAAUGAGCAUCAACUUAUUAAAAUACAUUUUAAGCCUU